UCCAUCUACGACAACGUUGUUAAUUAGUGUUACUUCAUUGGUAGUCCUGAGGAAAAUGACAUGAAUACUUACCAAAGCAUAAGACGAAACAAUAAAUCCACUUGGGUGAGAGCAGGCAAUGUAUAUGGGUAUACCAAUUUUGUAUACUUAUACAAUCCUGUGAAUCAAAGUUGGCAUUGCAUUAUAAACACCACAAGUGCAAUCUUUGGCAUGCUGUGUUUUUUGACAAGUUUCAGUCAUGGUGAAAUCGUACGCCCCUGCUACUGCCCAUCAAGCGCUAACCAUUGGAACCUCCCCCCCCCCCUGAUUCCGUGUUGAAAACCAAGUUUUAUUGAGGUAUGGUGUGUUUGCUUUGAACCUGGCAAAUUUUACGUUGAAUUCGCAUAGAAUAUUUGUAUUUGAAGUUUGUUUCCUGUUUUGAGAUGGAGCGACCAAGUGAGCUGGCUAAAGAUGGUAAAUGUGAAUAGUUAAUCAUAAUAAAUUGUAUAUUACAUUUCAAUAAUUUUGUUUAGCUCUAAUUCGAAGAUUACAAGCUUAGUUACUUGAGCAAAACCGGCUGUUAGAAGCCAGAAGGGGUACUUUUCAAACUGUUGAAUCUAAAAAUGGUACUUUUUUAAGUGUAACAGUUGUCUUGCCAAGAUUUCCAUCAGUGACUGAACGGGUUGGCCACGAGCUUCUUAAAAUACAAAAAAUGGAACAGUGGUGUGGCAGAACGAGCCAAAAAAAGUAAGGAUAGUCUACAUAAGCUGACUGAACAUUAUUUCUGCUGCUUGAAAGAAAUAUGGCAUCCCAAAGACAAAUGCCCAGACGAAGAACAACUUGAAGAACUGUCAAGCCUCUCCUAGGGCAUUAGGAACAUCAAAUACUACCGAGACUAGGGCAGUGCUGAGUUGUGCAGUGAAAUAGAGAAGCCUGGCAACCUGUGGAGGAUACUAUGAAAAGCAUGAAAAGUGGAAAAGUUUUGAAGCAUGUGAUGAGCAGCGUGCCGAUGAAAAAUCACUUAAAGGAAUAUUUCCAAAAAUUGUGUACAUCAUUCCAAUGCAAAACGGCAUUGUUGGAACGCCUGAUCCUAAUUUUCAAGUAACGACAGUUACAUGCAGGGAUUGUAAUAGGAAUAUUGCAAGAGAAAGGAUGUUCACUCAAAGGGAAAACGAAUUUUAAUGUAUUUUAAUACAGAAUUAAUAAACAUCUCAUCAUUUUGUCUAUUUUUAGUUUUGAGGAAAUGCCAUUGGAUGGGGUGUUGUAGUCUCGACUGUCUGAGUGACUGAGUGUGUCUGUGUAUUUGUAUUACUUAGUCUGGGAUGGCUGGUCUCUAAAUGGGGUUGGAGGAUGAGUGGCCAUUUAGCGGUAGAUAUUACAACAUGGGGUAAACAAAUACGGAUGUAGAUUGUCUUCUGCUCUUUCUCCUGCGGUCGUUAAUGAAGAAAGUCCAUCUCCCUCAACGAGCACCGUUUGCAACGAUUCAAGUCAUUCUCCAACGCAAAUCACAAGAAAGAAUGAUUACAGUCAGAGUCGUUCUCCGAUGUUCCAUCUUUCCAUGCAAGGAGAAAGGAGCCCAUCUGGCAACGAUUCGAUUGUUUCUCCAACGCGAAUGAGAAGACAGGAUAUAGCUACCGUUCCAGUCGUUCUCCAUAAAAAAGCAUUGAAUCCAAAAAUAAAAAAAAGACGUCGUUUGUCAAGGAGUCCAUCUCGCAACGAUUUGAUUCGUUCGCAAACGCAAAUGAGAUAACAGGAUAGCUGCUGUUAGGGCGCACCUUCCAAUAAGCCCAUCUGCUACCUUCUCCCCUUGAUUAUUAAAUACACGGAGAGUUGGGUUUCAACACUCUGUAUUUCACACGUCACUUGACUUGUAUAUGUCGUCAGCGUCCAGCUUCGAGUCCCGGAAUGACGUCCCUUUUCCGAACUCGUCACCUUCCGCCCUUUUAACGACACACCCCUUUUUACAAAUACA
RNAcentral lists this long non-coding RNA (1951 nucleotides) under Daphnia pulex (common water flea). RNAcentral describes it as "uncharacterized LOC124190188, transcript variant X1". The record is from RNAcentral. Lineage: Eukaryota; Metazoa; Arthropoda; Branchiopoda; Diplostraca; Daphniidae.